GUUCUUUACCAGGAGGUUGUUGUACUCAAAGCUAGGUCAAUUACCAGAUAACUAUAUUUGUACCCCUAUCUCUUUAAACCUGAGAUUCUGCUCCCAAUCAGCAGCACAGCUGUGGUGGAUAGGAAAUGCUUUGCUGCAGGGGCUUGAGCUACCUGGAACAUGUCCACCGUGGGCUGAGACUCCCUUGAAUUUGCAGCAGCGAAGCGAGGAUCUGAUAGGGCUGGUGCCGCUGCUCAGGACCACCACGUUUGAUCUUGAUGCUCGUUCGUAGAGAGGAGCCUAGGAUCACUUCCUGCCCUGAGCCCGGUUCCAUGGACGAUAAAGAAUCUGAAAGGAGAUCAAGCCAAGGGAGAGUUUAUUUAAUAGGCGGGGCAGGUAAUGGACACUUGUUUGUUCCACUGCCAAGAGCCCAGCCUUCCUAGCCAGACCUCCAGCACUGGUCUGCUCACAGCCGGAACUAUUUCUAAUUCAACUCCGCUUUAUGGACAAAAUCUCCUCACAAGGAUUCUCUCUCAUCGAUCCAGUUCCCCCAGUGCUAAGUUCUUAAAAGAUUUCAUUCUACAGCCCCUCCUAGAAGGGUCUCCACAAGCCACCAACGGUCCACAGGCCACAGUCUGGCACAGUAAGUGACGGGGAGUCCUGAAGAGUUUUGGAGGACUGGGAUAGCAGAAGUAUCCAAAAGUUUAAAUACUGCUCUGAAACUCUUUAGUCUGCCUGGACACUGGGCUGGUAACCUGGUGAGAAGAGGCUCUCGCAUGUUGUUUUGGGGUUUUUUUUUUUUGGUACUUCCUAAUCUUGGCCAGCUUGGAAACAACACUCAGCAAACGCCUCUUGCUGUAUUUUGGGCAUUAAACACUUCUAUGUCCUUGACAAAAUAAGCAACGACAGCGAUUACAUGACGAAAUGUGAAGUAAAAACAAACAUUUUAAGAACA
Molecule: long non-coding RNA, 934 nt
Organism: Mauremys reevesii (Reeves's turtle)
Lineage: Eukaryota; Metazoa; Chordata; Testudines; Geoemydidae
Exons: 4
Source: RefSeq, a predicted model, not a curated record